Molecule: ribosomal RNA, 301 nt
Filed under: uncultured bacterium
Lineage: Bacteria
Description: partial 16S ribosomal RNA
Rfam family: Bacterial small subunit ribosomal RNA
Source: RNAcentral
CAGUAGCCGCGGUAUACGUAGGUCCCGAGCGUUGUCCGGAUUUAUUGGGCGUAAAGCGAGCGCAGGCGGUUAGAUAAGUCUGAAGUUAAAGGCUGUGGCUUAACCAUAGUACGCUUUGGAAACUGUUUAACUUGAGUGCAAGAGGGGAGAGUGGAAUUCCAUGUGUAGCGGUGAAAUGCGUAGAUAUAUGGAGGAACACCGGUGGCGAAAGCGGCUCUCUGGCUUGUAACUGACGCUGAGGCUCGAAAGCGUGGGGAGCAAACAGGAUUAGAUACCCGCGUAGUCCCUGUCUCUUAUACAC